Molecule: transfer RNA, 84 nt
Filed under: Acidimicrobiia bacterium
Lineage: Bacteria; Bacillati; Actinomycetota; Acidimicrobiia
Description: tRNA-Leu
Rfam family: tRNA
About the family: Transfer RNA (tRNA) molecules are approximately 80 nucleotides in length. Their secondary structure includes four short double-helical elements and three loops (D, anti-codon, and T loops). Further hydrogen bonds mediate the characteristic L-shaped molecular structure. tRNAs have two regions of fundamental functional importance: the anti-codon, which is responsible for specific mRNA codon recognition, and the 3' end, to which the tRNAs corresponding amino acid is attached (by aminoacyl-tRNA synthetases). tRNAs cope with the degeneracy of the genetic code in two manners: having more than one tRNA (with a specific anti-codon) for a particular amino acid; and 'wobble' base-pairing, i.e. permitting non-standard base-pairing at the 3rd anti-codon position.
Source: RNAcentral
GUCGGAGUGGCGGAAUUGGUAGACGCGCUAGGUUGAGGGCCUAGUGGGCGCAAGCCCGUGGAGGUUCGAGUCCUCUCUCCGACA